Molecule: ribosomal RNA, 497 nt
Filed under: uncultured bacterium
Lineage: Bacteria
Description: partial 16S ribosomal RNA
Rfam family: Bacterial small subunit ribosomal RNA
Source: RNAcentral
GAUGAACGCUGGCGGCGUGCCUAAUACAUGCAAGUCGAGCGAACGGACGAGAAGCUUGCUUCUCUGAUGUUAGCGGCGGACGGGUGAGUAACACGUGGAUAACCUACCUAUAAGACUGGGAUAACUUCGGGAAACCGGAGCUAAUACCGGAUAAUAUUUUGAACCGCAUGGUUCAAAAGUGAAAGACGGUCUUGCUGUCACUUAUAGAUGGAUCCGCGCUGCAUUAGCUAGUUGGUAAGGUAACGGCUUACCAAGGCAACGAUGCAUAGCCGACCUGAGAGGUGGAUCGGCCACACUGGAACUGAGACACGGUCCAGACUCCGACGGGAGGCAGCAGUAGGGAAUCUUCCGCAAUGGGCGAAAGCCUGACGGAGCAACGCCGCGGGAGUGAUGAAGGUCUUCGGAUCGUAAAACUCUGUUAUUAGGGAAGAACAUAUGUGUAAGUAACUGUGCACAUCUUGACGGUACCUAAUCAGAAAGCCACGGCUAACUACGUG